GCACAUUCACAAACGCACACGCUCACACACAACGUUUUGAUUGCAUUGUAGCGCUGAAGAAAGGCAGUCAAUCACCAGAGAUUUCCCCCGGUGUCAGAACAGCAGGAAAAUGUCAGGAUUCUCAGAGGAAAAACACAUUGGUUUUAAACCGAGGCGUGUAAUCCAUUUUGUCUGCUUGUUUCUUGUGAAACGUCGUUACUUUUGCAUACAACUGCUGCACCGCUGGGACAGAACCUUCAAACACAGCAACCCUCAGUUUUUCCACAGCUGUUGUUACACCUCAGCUGUAGUUUUCUGUUCUGGCCAUGAGAGGGCAGAGAGAGAGAUAAAGAAGCCAUUGUUCACUGUGAAGCCGGGAACUAUGAGAGCACAUUUGGAGGUCACUUUAAACUGAGUCCUUCUGAUCAAUCUGUCAUUUGGAGUUUUGCUUUAUUUGGAUGCAGGGCACACUUGCAGAAUCAUGCCAUGAGGUAUGCCUGGAGGCUUUUUGCUUUGAUUUCGGAAGCACAACUUCCUUGAAAAAAGUCUUUCCACAAAAAUUGGGAAAUUCUUAACAUAUUUGUCUGUAUAACAGCUUCAGAGAUUCAGAGAUGUCCUGGUGAUUCAGUCGGGCCCACUUUAUUUUGUGGAUGCAAAGUUUGCUCUUGGGGUCAUAAGCUCAAAGGAAACUCAUGAGGUUAAGGGAGUCUAACAUUAAAACAUUAAAAAAAGUUUUCUUCUGUGAUGCCAGAGUUUCUCAGAUUGGAGUUUUGUUUUUUGUUUUUCUUUUUUUAAUUCACAUAUUUGUGGUAAAAAUCUGUGACUCAGUUUUGCACCUUCAAGGUAAUUUAAGCAUUGAACCAAUUGACUGAGAAGAAAAACAAUAACUUUUUUCAUUUCCAGGAUUAAGUGCAUCAUGAACAUUUAGACAAUAAUUUCUUGACUAUGCAAAUAAGAUGAAAACAAAGUCAUUAACCUUCAGAGUUCUGGUUUUGUGUCCUAUGAGAGAGUUUGAGUUAGCAGCAAAUGCAUGUCAAGCAGAACAA
Molecule: long non-coding RNA, 1025 nt
Organism: Poecilia latipinna (sailfin molly)
Lineage: Eukaryota; Metazoa; Chordata; Actinopteri; Cyprinodontiformes; Poeciliidae
Exons: 2
Source: RefSeq, a predicted model, not a curated record